CAGUAGCCACGGUAAUACGUAGGUGGCAAGCGUUGUCCGGAAUUAUUGGGCGUAAAGGGCUCGCAGGCGGUUUCUUAAGUCUGAUGUGAAAGCCCCCGGCUCAACCGGGGAGGGUCAUUGGAAACUGGGAAACUUGAGUGCAGAAGAGGAGAGUGGAAUUCCACGUGUAGCGGUGAAAUGCGUAGAGAUGUGGAGGAACACCAGUGGCGAAGGCGACUCUCUGGUCUGUAACUGACGCUGAGGAGCGAAAGCGUGGGGAGCGAACAGGAUUAGAUACCCCAGUAGUCCCUGUCUCUUAUAA
Molecule: ribosomal RNA, 301 nt
Filed under: uncultured bacterium
Lineage: Bacteria
Description: partial 16S ribosomal RNA
Rfam family: Bacterial small subunit ribosomal RNA
Source: RNAcentral